RNAcentral lists this ribosomal RNA (505 nucleotides) under Actinomyces sp. 'ARUP UnID 97'. RNAcentral's name for it is "bacterial SSU rRNA". It matches the Rfam family "Bacterial small subunit ribosomal RNA", at positions 27 to 506 of the family's 1533-position model. The record is from RNAcentral. Lineage: Bacteria; Bacillati; Actinomycetota; Actinomycetes; Actinomycetales; Actinomycetaceae.
GGACGAACGCUGGCGGCGUGCUUAACACAUGCAAGUCGAACGGUGAAGCGCUUUCCUUUUUGGUUGGUGUGGAUGAGUGGCGAACGGGUGAGUAACACGUGAGUAACCUGCCCCCUUCUUCUGGAUAACCGCAUGAAAGUGUGGCUAAUACGGGAUAUUCUGCGCCUGCUGCAUGGUGGGUGUGGGAAAGAUUGUGCCUUUGGGUGUUUUCGGUGGGGGAUGGGCUCGCGGCCUAUCAGCUUGUUGGUGGGGUGAUGGCCUACCAAGGCGGUGACGGGUAGCCGGCCUGAGAGGGUGGACGGUCACACUGGGACUGAGACACGGCCCAGACUCCUACGGGAGGCAGCAGUGGGGAAUAUUGCACAAUGGGCGCAAGCCUGAUGCAGCGACGCCGCGUGAGGGAUGGAGGCCUUCGGGUUGUGAACCUCUUUCGCCAGUGAAGCAGGCCUGUCCCUUUUGUGGGUGGGUUGACGGUAGCUGGAUAAGAAGCGCCGGCUAACUACGU